This 253-nucleotide ribosomal RNA is filed under the name uncultured bacterium. Its description in RNAcentral is "partial 16S ribosomal RNA". It matches the Rfam family "Bacterial small subunit ribosomal RNA", at positions 524 to 776 of the family's 1533-position model. The record is from RNAcentral.
UACGGAGGGUGCAAGCGUUAUCCGGAUUCACUGGGUUUAAAGGGUGUGUAGGCGGAUAUUUAAGUCAGUGGUGAAAUCUCAAGGCUCAACCUUGAAACUGCCAUUGAUACUAUUUAUCUUGAAUAUCGUUGAGGUAGGCGGAAUAUAUCAUGUAGCGGUGAAAUGCUUAGAUAUGAUAUAGGACACCGAUUGCGAAGGCAGCUUGCUAAACGAUUAUUGACGCUGAGGCACGAAAGCGUGGGGAUCAAACAGG